GAUCUUGCUACACAGCCUGUUGUGACUUGUCCUGUAAUUUAGUUACGAGGAUUCAAAGUCAUGCUCCAGACGCAGUUGAAAAGAAAGCAUCCAAAGUUCAUUCUGAACAUUCUACUUUUCUGAGCUUAUCUGUUGCCUCUCACACUGGUUGUUAUAGAAAGUAGUUUGACCAUUACAAAGGUUAUGUAUGGAAAAGCCUAGUUCACCAUGGCUGAGAUGGGCCCAGUCCUGUAAUGAGGAAGGUCUUAAACAUAGUGGUCUUUUACAUUGAAUGGUGCCUACAAACCACAUUUUCCUGAACUUCAUUGUAUUUGGGUUCACAGCAGAUCUUUUCAUUGGGCCUAUAGUUGUAAUGUGAAUCAGCCUAGCCUUACUACAGAUUUAUUAUGUUUUCAACUUGGUACAGGUAACCAAGACAUCAAUCAUGGUCAAUGACCUGUUUUUAAAGGGAAACAAUCAUAAAUAGAUACUUUUGUAUAUAUAGUGUAUGUGGACACCCCUUCAAAUUGGUGGAUUCAGCUAUUUCAGCCUCGCCCGUUGCUGACGGGUGUAUAAAAUUCAGUACACAGCCAUGCAAACUCCACAGACAGACAUUGGCAGUAGAAUGGCCUUACUGAAGAGCUCCGUGACAUUCAACAUGGCACCGUUAUAGGAUGCCACCUUUCAAAAAAGUAAAUUGGUCAAAUGUCUGCCCUGCUAGAGCUACCCUGGUCAACUGUAAGUGCUAUUAUUGUGAAGUAGAAACGUCUCAGCCGCAAAGUGGUAGGCCCAAAAAUAGUUUUUGUCUGUUCUCAUUUGCAACACUCACUACUAAACUGCCUCUAGAAGUAACAUCAGUGCAAUAAUUGUUCGUUGGGAGCUUCAAGAAAUGGGUUUCCAUGGCUGAGCAGCGGCACACAAGCAUAAGAUCACGAUGCGCAAUGCCAAGCGUCACCUGGAUUGGUGUAAAAGCUUGCUGUCAUUGGACGCGUUCUCUGGAGUGAUGAAUCACGCUUCACCAUAUGCCAAUCCGACGGACGACUCUGGGUUUGAGACCCGGGAGAGGCAAAGGUCGAGAGUCCUUGACCUGCCAAGCCGCGCUGCUUCUUAACACUGCUCACUUAACCCGGAAGCCAGCUGUACCAAUGUGUCGGAGGAAACAACAUCCAAAGUGGAUUAGCUUGCAGGCGCCCGGCCCGUCACAUGGAGUUGCUGGAGCACGAUAAGCCAAGGAAUCCCCCCUGCCAAACCCUCCCCUAAACCAGACGACGUUGGGCCAAUUGUUAGCCACCUCUUGGGGGGUCACAGCCGGCUAUGACACAGCCUGGGAUUGAACCUGAGGCUGUAGUGGUGCCUCAGAUCUGCGAUGUAGUGCCUUAGACCACUACGCCACUCAGGAGGCCCCAGUGUGGAAGAACUUGACUGGCCUGCACAGAGCCCUGACCUCAACCCUAUCGGACACCUUUGGGAGGAAUUGAAAUGCCAAUUGUGAGCCAGGCCUAAUCGCCCAACAUCAGUGCCCGACCUCACUAAUGUUCUUGUGGCUGAAUGGAAGCAAGUCCCUGCAGCGAUGUUCCAACAUCUAGUUGAAAGCCUUUCCAGAAGAGUGGAGGCUGUUAUAGUAGCAAAGGCAGUACCAACUCUAUAUUAACACCCAUGAUUUUGGAAUGAGCUGUUCAACGAGCAGGUGUCCACAUACUUUUGGUCCUGUAGUAUACAUUGGUUAAACAGCUGCCAUUAUAUGCCGUGCCUUGCAAAAGUAUUCAGACUCCUUGGAUUUCUUCAUUUUGUGUUACAAAAUGAGAAUGAUUUGUCUUUUAUUUUAAACAAUUUUCAUCUACACACAACACUCCGGAAUGUUAUUUUUCUUUUCAAAAUUCUUCAAGCUCUGUCAAGAUGUUGGGGAUCAUGGCUAGAUGGCAGUAAGUCUUGCCAUAGAUUGUUAAGCAGAUUUAAGUCAAAACGCUAACAUGGCCACUCAGGAACAUUCACCGUCUUCUUUAUAAGCAGAGCCGGUGUAGAUUUGGCCUUGUGUUGUAGGUUAUUGUCCUGCUGAAAGAUGAAAUCUUCACCCAGUCCCUGGUGUAAAGCAGGUCUUCAUCAAGGAUUUAGCCUGUGCUUAGCUUCAUCCCAUUUACUUUUUAUUCUGAAACUCCCCAGUAUUUGCCAAUGUCAGGCAUCCAAAUUAAAUUAUAUUUGUUACAUGCUACUUAAAAACAACCAGUGUAGACUAACAGUGAAAUGCUUUCUUACGGGCCCUUCCCAGCAAUGCAGUGAGAAAUAACAGAAAAGUUAAACACCCAAUAAUAAAUACACAAUGAGUCUUGACUAUAGACACAGGGCACCAGUACCGAGUCGAUGUGCAGGGGUACAAGGUAAUUGAGGUAGAUAUGUGCAUAUAACUAGGAAUAAAGUGACAGAUCAUAAACAGUAGCAACAGCUUCUGUGAUACACUGAACAAAAAUAUAAACGCAGCAUGUAAAGUGUUAGCCCCAUGUUUCAUGAGCUGAAAUAAGAGAUCCCAGAAAUAUUCCAAAUGCACACACAGCUUAUUUCUCUCAAAUUUUGUGCACAAAUGUUUACAACCCUGUUAGUGAGCGUUUGCCAAGAUAAUCCAUUCACCUGACAGGUGUGGCAUAUUAAGAAGCUGAUUAUUACACAGGUGUACCUUGUGCUGGGGACAGAAGGCCACUCUAAAAUGUGCAGUUUUGUCACAGAUGUCUUCAAGUGUUGAGGGAGUGUGCAAUUGAUAUGCUGACUGCAGGAAUGUCCACCAGAGCUGUUGCCAGAGAAUUAAAUGUUAAUUUCUCUACCAUAAGCCACCUCCAAUGUCGUUUUAGAGAAUUUGACAGUACAUCCAACCGGCCUCACAAUCGCAAACCACAUGUAUGGUGUUGUGUGGGCAGGCAGUUGGCUGAUGUCAACGUUGUGAACAGUGCCCCAUUGUGGCGACGAUUAUGGUAUGGGCAGGCAUAAGCUACAGACAAUGAACAAGAUUGCAUUUUAUCGAUGGCAAUUUGAAUGCACAGAGAUACCAUGACGAGAUCCUGAGUCCCAUUGUCAUGCCAUUCAUCCGCCACCAUCACCUCAUGUUUCGGUAUGAUAAUGCACAGCCCCAUGUCACAAGGAUCUGCACAAUUCCUGGAAGCUGAAAAUGUCCCAGUUCUUUCAUGGCCUGCAUACUCACCAGGCUUACUGUACCCUCUAGCGCCUUGGGGUUGGAUGUCAAGCGGUUGCCAUACCAAGUUGUGAUGCAGCCAGGCAAGAUGCUCUCAAUGGUGCAGCUGUAUAACAUUUUGAGGAUCUGAGGGCCCAUGCUAAAGCUUUUCCACCUCCCAAGAGGCAUUGUCAUGCCUUCUUCAUACCCAUACCAUGAUGCAGCCACCACUAUGCUUGAAAAUAAGGUGGGAGUUACAGUGAUGUGUUGGAUUUUCCCCAAACAUAAGACUGCAUUUAGGCCAAAAGGUGUAUUCCUUUUUGCAGUAUUACUUUAGUGCCUUGUUGCAUACAAGAUGUAUGUUUUGGAAUAUUAUUUUUUUAUUUUGUAUAUUUAUUUUCACUCUCAUUUAGUUCAUUAUUGUGGAGUCACUACAAUGUUGUUGAUCCAUCCUCGGCUCUCUCCCGUCACAGCCAUUUAACUCUGUAGUUGUUAUGAGGACAUUGGUGAUUUUAAACAUCACUGAGCAGUUUCAUUCCUGUCCUGCUGCUCUGUUCAGAAUGAUGACUAUCUUUCAUGUCUGGGUGGUUUCAUACAUAAUCCACAGCAUAAUUAUUAACUGACCAUGCUUAAAGAAAUAUUCUAUCUGAUUUUAUUGUUACCCAUGUACCAAUCACUGCCCUUUUGAGGCAUUCGAAGAGCUCCCUUGUCUUUGUAGUUGAUUUGAAAUCCAGUACUUGACUGAGGGAUCUUUACAAAUGUUAAAUGUCAUCAAGGACACUAACCACCUGGGCCCACUACCUGUUCACCCCGCUUCCAUCCAGAAGGCGAGGUCCGUACAGGUGCAUCCAAGCUGGGACAGAGAUUGAAAAUCAGCUUCUAUCUCAAGGCCAUCAGAUUGUUAAACAGCCAUCAUUAGCACAGAGAGGCGGCUGCCUACCUGCAGACUUGAUAUCAUUGUCCAAUUUAAUAAAUGGAACACUAGUCACUUUAAUAAUGCCACUUUAAGAAUGUUUACAUAUCUCGCAUUACUCAUCUCAUGUAUAUACUGUAUCAUUCACUAUCUAUUGCAUCUUAGCCGCUCUGUCACUGCUCAUCAAUAUAUUUUAUACUUACUGUAUAUAUUAUCAAAUUCCUUUACUAGAUUGUGUGUAUUAGGUUUUGUUGUGGAAUCUGUUAGAUAUUACCUGUUAGAUACUGCUGCACUGUCGGAUCUAGACGCAUAAGCAUUUCGCUACACUGCUAACCAUGUGUAUGUGACCAAUAAAAUUUGAUUUGUUAGGGGGACCGAGGAAGGGUCAUUCAAAAAUCAUGUCAACCCCUAUUAUUUCACAGUGAGUCCAUGUAACUAUAAAAUAUGAUUUGUAAAGCCAAAUUUGACUCUUGAAUUUAGGCUUGCUUAAACAAAUGGGCUCACUACUUAUGCAACAACUAUUUUACUUAUAUACUUUAAAAAUAAAAUGUCUUCUACUUUGA
Molecule: long non-coding RNA, 4612 nt
Organism: Oncorhynchus keta (chum salmon)
Lineage: Eukaryota; Metazoa; Chordata; Actinopteri; Salmoniformes; Salmonidae
Exons: 2
Source: RefSeq, a predicted model, not a curated record